Molecule: long non-coding RNA, 1026 nt
Filed under: Notechis scutatus (mainland tiger snake)
Lineage: Eukaryota; Metazoa; Chordata; Lepidosauria; Squamata; Elapidae
Description: lncRNA (ENSNSUG00000011443.1)
Source: RNAcentral
GGCUUGGAAAAGACUACUUUGAAGAUUUAAAUAAAACUGUGUUGAAAUAUAUAUGGCAAGGUAAGAAAGCGAGAAUAAAGUUAAAACUUUUGCAAGAUGCUAGAAUUAGAGGAGGAUUUCGUUUGCCUAAUUGGGAGUUGUACUACCAAGCUACAAAUCUGAUGUGGGUUAAGGAAUGGAUAACACUAAGAAAUACUAGAGUGUUGACAUUAGAAGGACAUGAUUUGUUGUUGGGGUGGCAUGCUUUUCUAUGGUAUAAAGGAACUAAAACACAGGGAUAUUUUAGAAGACAUUAUAUACGGGAGUCUCUGUGGUUAAACUGGGAGAAGAUUAAAAGACAAUGUUAUUUGAAAAUUCCAGUCUGGUUAUCGACUAUUGAAGCAUUUUCGUAUCCUAUAAUAUACAAAAAGGAACAAACAGUUAGAUAUGGUGAAAUAUUGAAUGAAAAGGGUGAACUUAAAUCUAUGCAAAAACUAGAGGAACAAGGUAUAAAGAUGAAUUGGUUUUCAUAUGCGCAAAUACACUCAAGGUAUGAUAAAGAUUCUAAAACAGAAGGUUUAUAUGAUAAACUGACUGACUUAGAUAAGAUUUUGACAGGUACUGAUGAAAAGGUGAUUAAAAAAUUGUAUGGCUAUUUAUUAGAAAUUAAACUAGAAGAACAAGUUAAAGAAACUAUGAUUGCUUGGGGGAAGAAUUUUGGAUAUGGGAUUGAUUUAGAGAAAUGGCAAAAACUGUGGUCUCAAAAUUAUAAAAUGACAAUGUCAACAGCAUAUAAAAAUUUGUAUAAGAUGUUUUACAGGUGGCAUUUCCCCCUGACAAGAAUAGCAAGAAUGUUCAAGAAUAAAUCCGAAAAAUGUUGGAAAUGUCAUCAGACACCUGGCUCAUUUUACCAUACGUGGUGGACUUGUGCGGAUGCUAAAAAAUACUGGACUAAAAUCCACACGUUGGAAAAAAUGACAAAAAAGCAUAUAGAUUUGAAACCAGAGAUAUUUUUAUUGGGAAUUUUACCUGAAAUAUAUAGUAAAG